AAAUCUAAAAUUGUUGUCAUCUGGCUGUACAACACAAAGCUGUACAAAAUUUUAGAUUAACGGAUCUGAUUGUUUACAAUAAGUCGUAUAAAAAAUUUAGGUGUACGUUUUUUCGGAAUAUUAUAAAGCUGUAAAAAAGAACGGUACGAGAAAACCUUACAAUAAAAGUGAGAGUAAAACUUUUUGUAACACUUUUGAUAAUCUUUUUGUGUUUUGUAUAAAAAAAAGCUAUACAAAUUGUAAUACUUUGU
RNAcentral lists this small RNA (251 nucleotides) under Arabidopsis thaliana (thale cress). RNAcentral describes it as "ATSL252750". The record is from RNAcentral. Lineage: Eukaryota; Viridiplantae; Streptophyta; Magnoliopsida; Brassicales; Brassicaceae.